CGAUCUGCUGCGGGCAGAUGAAGUGAAUGUGAGAGUCGAAACCGCCGGCGGUCACGAUCUUUCCCUCGCCGGCGAUGAUCUCCGUGCCGGGUCCAAUGAUGAUAUCGACAUCGGGUUGCACAUCCGGAUUGCCCGCCUUGCCGAUCCGUGCAAUCCGCCCGUCCUUGAGACCGAUAUCGGCCUUCACGAUGCCUGAGUGGUCGAGGACCACUGCGUUGGUGAUGACGGUAUCGACCGCACCGGACGCCCGGGUUGCCGGCCCCUGUCCCAUUCCGUCGCG
RNAcentral lists this small RNA (280 nucleotides) under Microvirga massiliensis. Its description in RNAcentral is "5' ureB small RNA". It matches the Rfam family "5' ureB small RNA". Lineage: Bacteria; Pseudomonadati; Pseudomonadota; Alphaproteobacteria; Hyphomicrobiales; Methylobacteriaceae. The record is from RNAcentral.